GGAUGUGAGGGCAAUCUAGCUGCGACAUCAGUCACCCCACUGAUUGCCAGUGUUGAUUCGGCUAAUCUGGCUGGCUGGGCGGGUGUCCCCUUCCUCCCUCAGCACUCCACGUGCGUCCCUCCGAAGCUGUGCGCUUGGUCGAAGAGGGCGACCACCCCCGAUAGAGGAGGGCUGUUCCUUGAUCACUGGUAUACGAGAGUAGCUGCGUGCCCCUACUAGAACCUCCAAACAAGCUCACAAAAGAGGCUGUGUCAGUUUGAGAAUAGAUGCUGUUAAUACCUUCACAAUUCUUACUAUGAAGUUUCCUGACACAUCUAA
Molecule: small nuclear RNA, 318 nt
Filed under: Chinchilla lanigera (long-tailed chinchilla)
Lineage: Eukaryota; Metazoa; Chordata; Mammalia; Rodentia; Chinchillidae
Description: 7SK RNA (ENSCLAG00000022144.1)
Rfam family: 7SK RNA
About the family: 7SK was discovered as an abundant small nuclear RNA in the mid-70s but a possible function has only recently been suggested. Two independent studies have found that 7SK RNA binds the CDK9/cyclin T complex (known as elongation factor P-TEFb).
Source: RNAcentral